Molecule: long non-coding RNA, 434 nt
Organism: Quercus robur (English oak)
Lineage: Eukaryota; Viridiplantae; Streptophyta; Magnoliopsida; Fagales; Fagaceae
Exons: 2
Source: RefSeq, a predicted model, not a curated record
UCAAAAGAUGAGGUAGAGGUCUUGGAAGAUGAAUUUCAUGAUUUAGGUAAUAUGUUAACUUCCAAACUUUGUCUAUUAAGUGCUAUUAAAUGUGUCUUAUGCAAAUGAAAUUUAAUCUAAUAGUCUUCAUUUCUUUCUCUUUUCUAGUUAUACGUCAAGCAGCAAGAGGUGGUGGAAGUUCAAGCUCAAGCAAAGGUAUCUCAAUUAACAUUGAUGACUAAUCAAAAACUGGGAGGAAGGACACACAUUUUGUAUAGGAGGCAGAUUUUUGGAUGCAAUUUGGAAGUUUUUUUGGACAGUGCUUUUCUAACUGAUAAUUGAUAAAUUAACUCUUGCUUAUAGGAAAGAAAACUUAUUAAGUUUAAUAGGCUUUCUUUUCUAUAAGUCAUGGACUAAACUCUAUAUAGUAGUUGCUCUUUAAAUGUUUUAGAAAA